This is a long non-coding RNA of Phyllostomus discolor (pale spear-nosed bat), 1762 nucleotides long. RefSeq lists it as uncharacterized. The record is from RefSeq and is a predicted model, not a curated record. NCBI's taxonomy places the organism in Eukaryota, Metazoa, Chordata, Mammalia, Chiroptera, Phyllostomidae. The transcript has 2 exons.
GCAAAAGUUAAUCCUGCUUUGAUGCUUUGCGUCUCAGUAGUGUUAGGUCCUAAGAGAAAGUGGACCAUGACCUUCACAUGCUCAUAUUCACAAAUGAGUUACAUUAGAAGUUAAUAUUAACCAAUAGGAUUCACUUCAUUCAACAAUUACAUUUUGAAUUCUGCAACAUGCCCUUCUCUGUUCUUGCUGAAGAAGAUACUGUGGUGACCAAGACCAGUCCCCACCCUUUGGAGCUUUGAGUGGAGCAAACAGACCCAAACAAAAACAGAACAAAACUGAUCGUCAUCAAAGCCAUGAAGGAAAGGAAUAGGGUGAGAUGGUGGGUAAGAGAACCUGUGUGAGGGGCACUACUUUAGUAAGUGUGGCCUGAGGAGAAAGACCUCUCUGAGAAGAGGAUAUUUUGAGUGAAGAGAGGCCGAGACUUGCAAAAGCUCCAACAGAAGAACCGGUUCCAGAAGUUGGAGGCAUGGAAACAACCCCGAGCACAGCUUGAACCUCGUAAAACAGGGGGAGAGGGAACUGAGAUUGGCCAGCAAGGAGGGAUCACGAUAUUUAUUCUAAUUUCAGUAGGAAAGCAUGCAAGGGAUGUUAGCAGGGAAAGAAUGUGAUCUGAUUUCCAGGUGAAAUGUCAACAGUUUCUAAACAGAGCUCUAACAAUAACUGCGGCUUUAUCUUCCAAGAGAUGCCGAUGCGGAUCUCUGGAUACCUGCUGGGUGUCUGCACAUCAUCUUAGCAACUCAGGAGGCUCUCACAGCAUCAGCCUCUUGAAGUUUGAAAAUGUCUGCAUCACCAGGGACCUGCGUUGAUCCACAUCCCAGAAUAUGCCAGGCUUCAGAGAUGCCCAGCUCUGUUGUUCAAAGUGUUUUAUUAAAAAUUGGUGAGGAGAGAAAAGAAGUCUCUGAGGGCCUGUCUGAUUUCAUUACCUCUGACAGAGCACACAGACGGAGCAGAGCCCCAGAGGGCCGAGGAGGGCCGCCCUUUGAGGUGCUGGGUGAUGCGCAGGCCUCUGGAGCCAUGGAUACUGAAUCCAGAUGUCCUCGUCUGCUGGCAUCUCGCACAGAUCCUGGACGCUCAGUGUGUAACCUGGCGUCGACUUCUCAAUCAUCAAACCCCCAGCAUUCUAGUUGGAAGAUGGACACCCACAGAUCCCCAAAUUUUCAUUGGUUUCAGUAAUGUAACUUCUACUGUUGCUCCUCUCAUUAGCAAAACUCUGUUCUCUAGUGGUUCUCUCUGUAAGUUCUAUUCCCCUGUGGCUUUCAUGGAUAGCCUGAAUCCAGCAUUCUGCAAAGAGCGGGUGCUACCAUUGAGAUUGCAAUCCAGACAACAGUUGAAUCCUCCAAGGUCCGGAUACAGAUCGCACAAGAUCCUUAAAGGCAGGGACUCACCAGAUGCCACCGACUAAAAUGGAAGAAGAGACUGGCUUGUAUGUUCCGUAAGAAGAAGCCCUCCGUCACGUAAAGAUAGCCACAGAGCCAAGCAGGCUGCCUUCUCCCACACAUAUUUUUCUGGUUGCUAAGGGAGGUCUCCAGCCUCAAAAGUGGCCCUGAUGAAAGAUGCCCUGUGAAGCUUGGGGAAGGUGUCGGAUGAACACAGGAAGUGAAGAGCCCCGGACGGGCCACCAGGAUCCCCACUCCAGAUCACUCUCCUCCUCCACCAUGGACUUUCUCAGCCCUAGAGACAGGUUACUAUCAACUGAGAGCUUUUUAAAAGUACUGGUGCCUGGGCAACCCUCCAGAACAAUUAAAAUAGGAUCAGAUUAGAA